GAUGAACGCUGGCGGCGUGCUUAACACAUGCGAGUCGAGCGAGAUUAUUCUUCGGAAUAGUCUAGCGGCGGACGGGUGAGUAACACGUGGGCAACCUGCCUUGUAGAGGGGGAUAGCCUUCCGAAAGGAAGAUUAAUACCGCAUAACGUUGUUGAAAGGCAUCUUUCGAUAAUCAAAGGAGUAAUCCGCUACAAGAUGGGCCCGCGGCGCAUUAGCUAGUUGGUGAGGUAACCGCUCACCAAGGCGACGAUGCGUAGCCGACCUGAGAGGGUGAUCGGCCACAUUGGGACUGAGACACGGCCCAGACUCCUACGGGAGGCAGCAGUGGGGAAUAUUGCACAAUGGGGGAAACCCUGAUGCAGCAACGCCGCGUGAGUGAUGACGGCCUUCGGGUUGUAAAGCUCUGUCUUUGGGGACGAUAAUGACGGUACCCAAGGAGGAAGUCACGGCUAACUACGUGCCAGCCGCCGCCGUAA
This 476-nucleotide ribosomal RNA is filed under the name uncultured bacterium. RNAcentral describes it as "partial 16S ribosomal RNA". It matches the Rfam family "Bacterial small subunit ribosomal RNA", at positions 28 to 523 of the family's 1533-position model. The record is from RNAcentral.